UGUAUUUUGUUUACUAAGCUAAGUGGC
This 27-nucleotide small RNA is filed under the name Bombyx mori (domestic silkworm). RNAcentral's name for it is "ovarian small RNA-35549". Lineage: Eukaryota; Metazoa; Arthropoda; Insecta; Lepidoptera; Bombycidae. The record is from RNAcentral.